This 1242-nucleotide ribosomal RNA is filed under the name metagenome. RNAcentral's name for it is "bacterial LSU rRNA". It matches the Rfam family "Bacterial large subunit ribosomal RNA", at positions 1564 to 2815 of the family's 2925-position model. The record is from RNAcentral.
UGAAUACGGGAUGCUACGGCGUCGAAGCAGUCUAUGUCAUACUUCCAAGAAAAGCUCGCACUGUCAUAAACAAAUAAUGCCUGUACCAUAACCGACACAGGUGGGUAGGUAGAGUAUACUAAGGGGCGCGAGAUAACUCUCUCUAAGGAACUCGGCAAAAUGACUCCGUAACUUCGGGAGAAGGAGUGCCUUAUUUAUAAGGUUGCAAUAACAAGAUCCAAGCAACUGUUUAUCAAAAACACAGGUCUCCGCUAAGUCGUAAGACGAUGUAUGGGGGCUGACGCCUGCCCAGUGCCAGAAGGUUAAAGAAGUUGGUUAGCAUUCGCGAAGCUGAUAACUGAAGUCCUGGUGAACGGCGGCCGUAACGGUAACGGUCCUAAGGUAGCGAAAUUCCUUGUCGGGUAAGUUCCGACCCGCACGAAAGGCGUAAUGAUUUGGAUACUGUCUCGGAGAGGGGCUCGGUGAAAUAGACUUGUCUGUGAAGAUGCGGACUACCUGCACCAGGACAGAAAGACCCUAUGAAGCUUUACUGUAACUUGAGAUUGAAAUUGGACUUUACUUGCGCAGUAUAGGUGGGAGGCGUUGAUAAUAUUCUUGCGGGAUUAUUUGAGCCAUCAGUGAGAUACCACUCUUGUAAUGUUAGAUUUCUAACUUUGUAUCAUUAUCUGGUCAAAGGACAGUUUCAGGCGGGCAGUUUGACUGGGGCGGUCGCCUCCUAAACGGUAACGGAGGCGCACAAAGGUUUCCUCUGAACGGGUAGAAAUCGUAUCUAGAGUGUAAAGGCAUAAGGAAGCUUGACUGUGAGACCUACAAGUCGAGCAGGGACGAAAGUCGGUCUUAGUGAUCUGACGGUGCUGAGUGGAAAGGCCGUCACUCAACGGAUAAAAGUUACUCUAGGGAUAACAGGCUGAUCUCCCCCAAGAGUUCAUAUCGACGGGGAGGUUUGGCACCUCGAUGUCGGCUCAUCGCAUCCUGGGGCGGUAGUACGUCCCAAGGGUUGGGCUGUUCGCCCAUGAAAGCGGUACGCGAGCUGGGUUCAGAACGUCGUGGGACAGUUCGGUCCAUAUCCGGUGUAGGCGUUAGAAUAUUGAGAGGAGCCUUCUUUAGUACGAGAGGACCGAGAAGGACAUACCUCUGGUGUACCAGUUAUCGUGCCAACGGUAAACGCUGGGUAGCUAUGUAUGGAGUGGAUAACCGCUGAAAGCAUCUAAGUGGGAAGCCCACCUCAAGAUAAGUAUUCUC